RNAcentral lists this ribosomal RNA (1327 nucleotides) under Staphylococcus pseudintermedius. RNAcentral describes it as "partial 23S ribosomal RNA". It matches the Rfam family "Bacterial large subunit ribosomal RNA", at positions 1239 to 2564 of the family's 2925-position model. Lineage: Bacteria; Bacillati; Bacillota; Bacilli; Caryophanales; Staphylococcaceae. The record is from RNAcentral.
UUCUAAGGGCGUUGAAGCAUGAUCGCAAGGACAUGUGGAGCGCUUAGAAGUGAGAAUGCCGGUGUGAGUAGCGAAAGACGGGUGAGAAUCCCGUCCACCGAUUGACUAAGGUUUCCAGAGGAAGGCUCGUCCGCUCUGGGUUAGUCGGGUCCUAAGCUGAGGCCGACAGGCGUAGGCGAUGGAUAACAGGUUGAUAUUCCUGUACCACCAUUAUUCGUUUUAAGCGAUGGGGGGACGCAGUAGGAUAGGCGAAGCGUGCUGUUGGAGUGCACGUCCAAGCAGUGAGAUUGAGUGUUAGGCAAAUCCGGCACUCUUAAGAUUGAGCUGUGAUGGGGAGAGGAACUUGUUCCUCGAGUCGUUGAUUUCACACUGCCGAGAAAAGCCUCUAGCUAGAAUAACGGUGCCCGUACCGCAAACCGACACAGGUAGUCAAGAUGAGAAUUCUAAGGUGAGCGAGCGAACUCUCGUUAAGGAACUCGGCAAAAUGACCCCGUAACUUCGGGAGAAGGGGUGCUCUUUGAGGUUCACGCUUCGAAGAGCCGCAGUGAAUAGGCCCAAGCGACUGUUUAUCAAAAACACAGGUCUCUGCUAAACCGUAAGGUGACGUAUAGGGGCUGACGCCUGCCCGGUGCUGGAAGGUUAAGAGGAGUGGUUAGCGCAAGCGAAGCUACGAAUCGAAGCCCCAGUAAACGGCGGCCGUAACUAUAACGGUCCUAAGGUAGCGAAAUUCCUUGUCGGGUAAGUUCCGACCCGCACGAAAGGCGUAACGAUUUGGGCACUGUCUCAACGAGAGACUCGGUGAAAUCAUAGUACCGGUGAAGAUGCCGGUUACCCGCGACAGGACGGAAAGACCCCGUGGAGCUUUACUGUAGCCUGAUAUUGAAAUUCGGUACAGUUUGUACAGGAUAGGUAGGAGCCUUAGAAGCGUGAGCGCUAGCUUACGUGGAGGCAUUGGUGGGAUACUACCCUAAUUGUAUUGGAUUUCUAACCCGCAGCACUUAUCGUGCUGGGAGACAGUGUCAGGCGGGCAGUUUGACUGGGGCGGUCGCCUCCUAAAGAGUAACGGAGGCGCUCAAAGGUUCCCUCAGAAUGGUUGGAAAUCAUUCAUAGAGUGUAAAGGCAUAAGGGAGCUUGACUGCGAGACCUACAAGUCGAGCAGGGUCGAAAGACGGACUUAGUGAUCCGGUGGUUCCGCAUGGAAGGGCCAUCGCUCAACGGAUAAAAGCUACCCCGGGGAUAACAGGCUUAUCUCCCCCAAGAGUUCACAUCGACGGGGAGGUUUGGCACCUCGAUGUCGGCUCAUCGCAUCCUGGGGCUGUAGUCGGUC